RNAcentral lists this ribosomal RNA (253 nucleotides) under uncultured bacterium. Its description in RNAcentral is "partial 16S ribosomal RNA". It matches the Rfam family "Bacterial small subunit ribosomal RNA", at positions 524 to 776 of the family's 1533-position model. The record is from RNAcentral.
UACGGAGGGGGCUAGCGUUGUUCGGAAUGACUGGGCGUAAAGGGCGCGUAGGCGGCUUGCACCGUCAGAUGUGAAAUUCCUGGGCUUAACCUGGGGGCUGCAUUUGAUACGUGUGGGCUUGAGUGCGGAAGAGGGUCGUGGAAUUCCCAGUGUAGAGGUGAAAUUCGUAGAUAUUGGGAAGAACACCGGUGGCGAAGGCGGCGACCUGGUCCGUGACUGACGCUGAGGCGCGAAAGCGUGGGGAGCAAACAGG